AUAACCAUUUAACUGUUAACACAGGCAUCCUGCAGACCUGAAGAAACAAAAAAAUGGACAGCAAAAUAUCAUAAACCAGAAUGAAACCUAUAGAGAAGACAUGGAAAAGAUGUUGAACCAUACGGCAAUUUUGAAAAAAAUGCACAAACCAAGGUCAUAACCAACCAGAAAUGUCAUGAAUACCAAGCCAUGGAGUAUGUUGACUUACCAUGGUGAUAAAACCAUCAAAAUUUGUCCAAAUAGAAUUACACUUGCUGCACCUACAACAUGAGGUUUGCAUCAUAUCGUACCAUGGCCUGGACCCUAGAUCUUUCCUGGAGCCGUCACUGCAGUUUAGUUCACAAAUGAAGCCCACCAUAUCCAACACCAGUCC
RNAcentral lists this long non-coding RNA (373 nucleotides) under Lathyrus oleraceus (garden pea). RNAcentral describes it as "Pisum sativum (pea) long non-coding RNA (PSAT_LNC009003)". The record is from RNAcentral. Lineage: Eukaryota; Viridiplantae; Streptophyta; Magnoliopsida; Fabales; Fabaceae.